AUUACCUCCCUCGCCCUACGUAGUCAGGGGAAAUGAUGUUGCACCAGCAGCACCGCUGAUAUUGCGAUGAACAACAUGCAAGACUUCACAAUCACACCGUUACACAGCAUCUGCACGGGUUGGCUUCAUCCCCCAUAGCGUGGUAGCUAUGCGACCAAAACAGCGGAGAAGUUAACCCUCGCGCUUCAACGCUCUUAGUUGUUGCGGAAAUUCACCCACUAUAGUAUGCUUUCACUUUGUACAUCUACAAUAUAAAUACUCUAAACACAAUGAUUGGGUAAUGAAUCCUGGAAAAAUAGUGCAUGUAACCUAAGGUCUGGUACCCGAUCUACAAAGAAUCUCAACGUCCUAGGAAUCUCGUUAAACCUGUUUUACGACAACACCAAACUCCCAGCUCAUAGUAGGUUUAAGGAUGACGUUAAGACACUGCCUAGACAAACUCUGAGCCAAAAUCAAUUUAUAAAAGUUGAUCUCCGCUGGUAAUCACGACAGUUUGAGGUACCGCAAAGGACAGAUAGUGAAGACGCUCAUUGACAUUGUUGCAAAUGAUGGGGAAUAACCAAUCGUAAUGAGGCAUCGCCAGCUGUUAACUCUACAGCACGCUUCAGACAAGGACAGUGAAUGUGACUGUACAUCAAAUGUUGUAAUGACCGACUAGAAACAGGAGACAGAAAAGGAGUGAAACUGGGACAAGCAGAAGCGGAAAUUGGACCCACCACUUCUGGGGCAGUAAGAUGGGAUCCAGGCUACCCGUCAUCAUACGCACCUGUUACCAUCAUUACGCGCAGCUGCGCUCAUUGGACUCACCUGGAAUCCCUCACUUUGUUGAUUGCCCCUGCAUAUAUGUCUGCUCCUCUGUGUUGAUCCCUGUAGUAGCAUUGUUUGACGUGUCGCGUUUAUGUCUAGACGCUGUGCCUGUUCCGUUGCAUGUCCGUCUGUAUUAAAUGGUUCACUCCCUGUACCUGCUUAUCAUCUCCAGCGUUGGGCCUUACACUAAUUGGAAGUAUGGUUUUAAACUCCUUGUACUUCCUUUCUGGCCAUGUGGUUCUGUUUUUAGAGGAUUGUGGGUAAUUCAAAAAUGUUUAGACUUUAUGUUUGCAUGUUUGAAUAAAUAAAAAUGUAUGAGUAUUAAGCA
Long non-coding RNA from Salmo salar (Atlantic salmon), 1135 nucleotides. RefSeq lists it as uncharacterized. NCBI's taxonomy places the organism in Eukaryota, Metazoa, Chordata, Actinopteri, Salmoniformes, Salmonidae. The record is from RefSeq and is a predicted model, not a curated record.